This 85-nucleotide transfer RNA is filed under the name Rhizoctonia solani. RNAcentral describes it as "tRNA-Gln". It matches the Rfam family "tRNA". Rfam says of the family: Transfer RNA (tRNA) molecules are approximately 80 nucleotides in length. The record is from RNAcentral. Lineage: Eukaryota; Fungi; Basidiomycota; Agaricomycetes; Cantharellales; Ceratobasidiaceae.
GGCUCUAUAGUGUAGUGGUUAUCACUCAAGAUUCUGAUCAUAAUGUCAUCUUCUUGUAACGCCGGUUCGAAUCCGGCUAGGGCCU